GGAAGAAAAGUCGUAACAAGGUCUCCGUUGGUGAACCAGCGGAGGGAUCAUUACAGGACUCGCAAGACUCCUUACACCCUGUGAACCUUACUGUAUACGCGUUGCUUCGGCGGGUCCGCCCGCCGGCAGCAUACCACAUUCUGUUUCUCUGCGUUGGCAUCUCGAGAAAAAAGCAAAUAAGUUAAAACUUUCAACAACGGAUCUCUUGGUUCUG
RNAcentral lists this unclassified non-coding RNA (214 nucleotides) under plant metagenome. RNAcentral describes it as "partial contains small subunit ribosomal RNA, internal transcribed spacer 1, and 5.8S ribosomal RNA". The stretch from base 1 to 53 matches the Rfam family "Eukaryotic small subunit ribosomal RNA", at positions 1779 to 1831 of the family's 1831-position model. The record is from RNAcentral.